This is a long non-coding RNA of Empidonax traillii (willow flycatcher), 450 nucleotides long. RefSeq lists it as uncharacterized. NCBI's taxonomy places the organism in Eukaryota, Metazoa, Chordata, Aves, Passeriformes, Tyrannidae. The transcript has 3 exons. The record is from RefSeq and is a predicted model, not a curated record.
AUUUUCUCAUUUAGUCUCUAAUUUCCUCAUUUUUGCCUAAAUUUGCCCAAUUUUUCCCCAGACUUUCCCAUCUUUGUCCCCAAUUCCCCAAAUUCUCCCCUAAUUUUCCUAUUUUUGCUGAAAUAUGUAGAAGUUGUUCACAAAUUUCCCCCAUAGUGACCCCAGCCUGAUUUAGACUGGUUCAUACUGGUUUACACUGGUCUGUGCCUCCUCCUGCACAGGUAGAGGAGCUCCUGCCCCCACCCGUGGAGAUCGAGUUCCCCCCAGCGCCACCCCUGACGGUGUCCCCUGAGGUCAUCACCCUGAGGGAACCUGAAGUUCCGCUGCUGCCACCGGCCCUCGAGGAGGAGCUGCCUGAAGUGACCCCCAGGGAGCUGCAGCUGCUGCUCGAGGCCGAGGCAGAGGAGCUGCUGCCCCCGGGUGAGGGGGGCACCUGGGGGGUAGGGGGGU